RNAcentral lists this ribosomal RNA (537 nucleotides) under Bifidobacterium animalis subsp. lactis. RNAcentral's name for it is "bacterial SSU rRNA". It matches the Rfam family "Bacterial small subunit ribosomal RNA", at positions 161 to 700 of the family's 1533-position model. The record is from RNAcentral. Lineage: Bacteria; Bacillati; Actinomycetota; Actinomycetes; Bifidobacteriales; Bifidobacteriaceae.
UGGUAAUACCGGAUGCUCCGCUCCAUCGCAUGGUGGGGUGGGAAAUGCUUUUGCGGCAUGGGAUGGGGUCGCGUCCUAUCAGCUUGUUGGCGGGGUGAUGGCCCACCAAGGCGUUGACGGGUAGCCGGCCUGAGAGGGUGACCGGCCACAUUGGGACUGAGAUACGGCCCAGACUCCUACGGGAGGCAGCAGUGGGGAAUAUUGCACAAUGGGCGCAAGCCUGAUGCAGCGACGCCGCGUGCGGGAUGGAGGCCUUCGGGUUGUAAACCGCUUUUGUUCAAGGGCAAGGCACGGUUUCGGCCGUGUUGAGUGGAUUGUUCGAAUAAGCACCGGCUAACUACGUGCCAGCAGCCGCGGUAAUACGUAGGGUGCGAGCGUUAUCCGGAUUUAUUGGGCGUAAAGGGCUCGUAGGCGGUUCGUCGCGUCCGGUGUGAAAGUCCAUCGCCUAACGGUGGAUCUGCGCCGGGUACGGGCGGGCUGGAGUGCGGUAGGGGAGACUGGAAUUCCCGGUGUAACGGUGGAAUGUGUAGAUAUCGG